CACGGGGCUUCAAGCCUUGUUCCCUCUAGUCUCUUCCUGCUGCUUUUCCACCAGUGUCUCAGGCUACUGCAGUUUCACCUCACCUCUCUUUCCAGCGCUGGUGCAGAGGAAAAUAUUCUCGGCAGCUGGGCUCCCAAGCCAUGGGUGCCUGUGUCCUCCAGGUAGAUACACCAUGUCCCUCUUUCUCCUCCAGUUUCUGAGGAUACAGUUUCCUUCUUCUAGACUAAGGACUUCUUAUUGUUAUCCUUUUCCAUGGCAAUCAGAGCUCUUGCCAAUGAGUAAGACUGGCCAUGAGAAAGCUAAAUUGGACAAGUAUAACAUGGAUGCCAGAGUGAUAUCACAGACUACAAAGACAUGA
Molecule: long non-coding RNA, 358 nt
Filed under: Oryctolagus cuniculus (rabbit)
Lineage: Eukaryota; Metazoa; Chordata; Mammalia; Lagomorpha; Leporidae
Description: lncRNA (ENSOCUG00000032702.1)
Source: RNAcentral